This 88-nucleotide transfer RNA is filed under the name Firmicutes bacterium ADurb.Bin182. Its description in RNAcentral is "tRNA-Ser". It matches the Rfam family "tRNA". Rfam says of the family: Transfer RNA (tRNA) molecules are approximately 80 nucleotides in length. The record is from RNAcentral. Lineage: Bacteria; Bacillati; Bacillota.
GGAGGGUUGUCAGAGCGGUCGAUCGUGCGGCACUCGAAAUGCCGUGUCCCUGACGGGACCCCGGGUUCGAAUCCCGGGCCCUCCGCCA